CCUACGGGUGACAGCAGUAGGGAAUAUUGCUCAAUGGGGGAAACCCUGAAGCAGCAACGCCGCGUGGAUGAUGAAGGUUUUCGGAUUGUAAACUCCUUUUGUUAGAGAAGAUAAUGACGGUAUCUAACGAAUAAGCACCGGCUAACUCCGUGCCAGCAGCCGCGGUAAUACGGAGGGUGCAAGCGUUACUCGGAAUCACUGGGCGGAAAGAGCGCGUAGGCGGGAUAGCAAGUCAGAUGUGAAAUCCUAUGGCUUAACCAUAGGACUGCAUUUGAAACUGUUAUUCUAGAGUAUGGGAGGGGUAAGUGGAAUUCUUGGUGUAGGGGUAAAAUGCGUAGAGAUCAAGAGGAAUACUCAUGGCGAAGGCGACCUGCUGGAACAUAACUGACGCUGAUGCGCGAAAGCGUGGGGAGCAAACAGGAUUAGAUACCCGAGUAGUC
This 440-nucleotide ribosomal RNA is filed under the name uncultured bacterium. RNAcentral describes it as "partial 16S ribosomal RNA". It matches the Rfam family "Bacterial small subunit ribosomal RNA", at positions 338 to 795 of the family's 1533-position model. The record is from RNAcentral.